CCUACGGGUGGCAGCAGUCGAGAAUCAUUCACAAUGGGGGAAACCCUGAUGGUGCGACGCCGCGUGGGGGAAUGAAGGUCUUCGGAUUGUAAACCCCUGUCAUGUGGGAGCAAAUUAAAAAGAUAGUACCACAAGAGGAAGAGACGGCUAACUCUGUGCCAGCAGCCGCGGUAAUACAGAGGUCUCAAGCGUUGUUCGGAAUCACUGGGCGUAAAGCGUGCGUAGGCUGUUUCGUAAGUCGUGUGUGAAAGGCGCGGGCUCAACCCGCGGACGGCACAUGAUACUGCGAGACUAGAGUAAGGGAGGGGGAACCGGAAUUCUCGGUGUAGCAGUGAAAUGCGUAGAUAUCGAGAGGAACACUCGUGGCGAAGGCGGGUUCCUGGACAUUAACUGACGCUGAGGCACGAAGGCCAGGGGAGCGAAAGGGAUUAGAUACCCAAGUAGUC
RNAcentral lists this ribosomal RNA (446 nucleotides) under uncultured bacterium. Its description in RNAcentral is "partial 16S ribosomal RNA". It matches the Rfam family "Bacterial small subunit ribosomal RNA", at positions 338 to 795 of the family's 1533-position model. The record is from RNAcentral.